Phasianus colchicus (ring-necked pheasant) is the source of this 981-nucleotide long non-coding RNA. RefSeq lists it as uncharacterized. The record is from RefSeq and is a predicted model, not a curated record. Lineage: Eukaryota; Metazoa; Chordata; Aves; Galliformes; Phasianidae.
AUUUCUUCUGGAGAUCUCUUUUCUGGAGUUUUGUAGUAAGCCCAGGAUACAGGUUCAAAAACAGAUGGAUUUUCAGAGGUGCUGCAUGCUUCUAUCUCCUACAGAAACUCUGAUGGACCCAUGGAAGAUGAAGGUGCAGUAUGGACAUUCCCACCUGUGUGUGAAUUGCAUUCAUUGCUCUCACUAGCAGAAGAGGAAAAUGAUUCUGCAGCUCUACUCAGUGACUAACAUUUGUAUUUUCAGAAUUCUAUUUGUAUUUUGAAUUUCUCCUGCUGCCAAAUUUACUUGAAUCUGGCAUAUAAAUUAAACAAAGAGUAGGAAGCAGGGAGGGGGCUGACAGAUAAGAUGAAUGGAUAGAACAUGCAAAUGCAUAAGCUUCAUUUCCUCAGAAAAAUAGAGUAAAAGAAUGUCUGCAUGUACUUGUUUGAGGGUGUACUUACCAGUAGUUUCAGAACCAGCACUAGUUCACAUUAAGAGAGCAGAUGCAGAACAAAUCACAUGAUAGAGACCAUUACAUUUCUUUUUAUGAGAUGUUAUUUUGAACUAUUGCCACCCAGGGGACACAAAAAAGAAACAGGUAGGGAAAAAUGAGAAAAAGUCCAGUUCUGGAACGAAAGAUAUAUGAGAAGAGCACAAAGUUUGUGCAAGAGGGCUCCUGUCAGAAUUUUCACUGAAUGUACUAAUGCCAGGGGGUUUACUAACAACAAGGGACUCAAAGGACUAAAGCUUAAAGUUUCAGAGGGAGAAAUCACUGGCAGCUCCUGCUAACUUCAGAUGAAACUGCAUCUGAGACAAAUUGAAAUCCGUGUAAAUAUAUGUUUUGUUCUAUUUAUCAGUUAGAACAACAAAAAGAAACUCCAUGCAAAUGGAUCCUGAGAUCUUUUCCUAAUUUUUGAAAUACGUUGCAUAUCUAACGUACGUACCUGAUACUUUCCAAGUUGCAUGCAAAUAUAAAAUCACAGCUUUCAUCUGAAAAUGAUG